CAAUAGCGUAUAUUAAAGUUGUUGCAGUUAAAAAGCUCGUAGUUGGAUUUCUGGCAGGAGCGACCGGUCACACACUCUGUGUGUGAACUUGCGUUGUCUCUGGCCAUCCUUGGGAAGAUCCUGUUUGGCAUUAAGUUGUCGGGCAGGGGAUACCCAUCGUUUACUGUGAAAAAAUUAGAGUGUUUAAAGCAGGCUUAUGCCGUUGAAUAUAUUAGCAUGGAAUAAUAAGAUAGGACUUCGGAACUAUUUUGUUGGUUUGCGUUACGAAGUAAUGAUUAAUAGGGACAGUUGGGGGUAUUCGUAUUUCGUUGUCAGAGGUGAAAUUCUUGGAUUUCCGAAAGACGAACUACUGCGAAAGCAUUUACCAAGGAUGUUUUCAUUA
This 382-nucleotide ribosomal RNA is filed under the name uncultured eukaryote. Its description in RNAcentral is "partial 18S ribosomal RNA". It matches the Rfam family "Eukaryotic small subunit ribosomal RNA", at positions 592 to 975 of the family's 1831-position model. The record is from RNAcentral.